UGGGGAAUAUUGGGCAAUGGGGGAACCCUGACCCAGCAACGCCGCGUGAGGGAAGAAGGUUUUCGGAUCGUAAACCUCUGUCCUUGGUGAAGAGUAGAAGACGGUAGCCAAGGAGGAAGCCCCGGCUAACUACGUGCCAGCAGCCGCGGUAAUACGUAGGGGGCAAGCGUUGUCCGGAAUGAUUGGGCGUAAAGGGCGCGUAGGCGGCCUGGUAAGUCUGGAGUGAAAGUCCUGCUUUUAAGGUGGGAAUUGCUUUGGAUACUGCUGGGCUUGAGUGCAGGAGAGGUAAGUGGAAUUCUCAGUGUAGCGGUGAAAUGCGUAGAGAUUGGGAGGAACACCAGUGGCGAAGGCGACUUACUGGACUGUAACUGACGCUGAGGCGCGAAAGUGUGGGGAGCAAACAGGAUUAGAUACC
Molecule: ribosomal RNA, 415 nt
Filed under: uncultured bacterium
Lineage: Bacteria
Description: bacterial SSU rRNA
Rfam family: Bacterial small subunit ribosomal RNA
Source: RNAcentral